This 481-nucleotide long non-coding RNA is filed under the name Phascolarctos cinereus (koala). RNAcentral's name for it is "lncRNA (ENSPCIG00000027622.2)". The record is from RNAcentral. Lineage: Eukaryota; Metazoa; Chordata; Mammalia; Diprotodontia; Phascolarctidae.
UGACCAUACUGCCUCUUAUGAAAAACAUUGUGAUAAAAAUGAUUUUCUUUAUGUAUUAUAUUUUAGUUUCUGGGAAGAGAAUUUUGAAGACCAAGAAAAUGGAUUGAUGACUUCUUGCUUAAGUUCUUCACAAACAAUCACCCUUUUGCUGUUAUUAGCCCUGGGUACAUUGUCAUUCAGACAAUAUGGAAAAUUGUGUAUAAUUGGACAGAUUCUCUCUUGGGCCACACAGAUCAACAUCCCAGAGCUGCAGAAGGCCACUGUAACUGCAAUUGUCACUUUCUUUACUCUGGUGACCUGCUCUUGCUGAGAUGAUUUCUCCAGAUUCUCUCCUGGCCCAGGAUGGGAUACACAAGCCUUUGCCUCUUAAAUGUGUCCUCCAGAAAAAGAUUUGGUUUCUUCUCCCUCAAAAAAGGACUUUGCUGUAACUAAGAAAAACAAAUGAAAAUAAAAUUACAGAGAACAGACCUGAUUAGUUACA